Pezoporus occidentalis (night parrot) is the source of this 399-nucleotide long non-coding RNA. RefSeq lists it as uncharacterized. The transcript has 3 exons. NCBI's taxonomy places the organism in Eukaryota, Metazoa, Chordata, Aves, Psittaciformes, Psittacidae. The record is from RefSeq and is a predicted model, not a curated record.
AUGAUUUCAGGUGGUGAAUAAACAGCAGGAGCAGAUGUACUCUGAAGAACAAAGACUGUAAAGUCAUGCAUGAAUCUCUAGUAAUAAAAUGUUAGGCAAGAAAAACAAAGAGCCUGUCCUUUACAGAGAGCUCAUCUACAGCUUCUCCUAGAAGACAUACUGCAUGUUUGUGUUGUCCCGUCCAGAAAUAUAAAACCAAAUGUCUCCACAUCUCCUCCAGAAGCAUCAGGGAGAAAACUCCCCACUCAAUGUUAUUGUUAUUUCACAUGUGAAAAAAGUCUAAGAUAUCCCAAACCAAGAAACAAAUAGCUUCUUGCUUCAUCUUUAAGAUUGUGAAAUGGAGAGGUAAAGAAGUAAACCUGUCAGAAGAAGCUUUUCCAGUGAGUAGGAGGAACAGAA